CUUCCGUAGGUGAACCUGCGGAAGGAUCAUUACCGAGUUUUCGAGCUCCGGCUCGACUCUCCCACCCUUUGUGAACGUACCUCUGUUGCUUUGGCGGCUCCGGCCGCCAAAGGACCUUCAAACUCCAGUCAGUAAACGCAGACGUCUGAUAAACAAGUUAAUAAACUAAAACUUUCAACAACGGAUCUCUUGGUUCUGGCAUCGAUGAAGAACGCAGCGAAAUGCGAUAAGUAAUGUGAAUUGCAGAAUUCAGUGAAUCAUCGAAUCUUUGAACGCACAUUGCGCCCCUUGGUAUUCCGGGGGGCAUGCCUGUUCGAGCGUCAUUACAACCCUCAAGCUCUGCUUGGAAUUGGGCACCGUCCUCACUGCGGACGCGCCUCAAAGACCUCGGCGGUGGCUGUUCAGCCCUCAAGCGUAGUAGAAUACACCUCGCUUUGGAGCGGUUGGCGUCGCCCGCCGGACGAACCUUCGUGAACUUUAUCUCAAGGUUGACCUCGGAUCAGGUAGGGAUACCCGCUGAACUUAAGCAUAUCAAUAAGCGGAGGAA
This 547-nucleotide ribosomal RNA is filed under the name Lasiodiplodia theobromae. Its description in RNAcentral is "eukaryotic LSU rRNA". The stretch from base 170 to 323 matches the Rfam family "5.8S ribosomal RNA". Lineage: Eukaryota; Fungi; Ascomycota; Dothideomycetes; Botryosphaeriales; Botryosphaeriaceae. The record is from RNAcentral.